This 208-nucleotide long non-coding RNA is filed under the name Brassica napus (rape). RNAcentral's name for it is "long non-coding RNA (BNAP_LNC010112)". The record is from RNAcentral. Lineage: Eukaryota; Viridiplantae; Streptophyta; Magnoliopsida; Brassicales; Brassicaceae.
UCAAAUUUAUUUCAAAUUUACUCGAAACAAUUCGAAAUAAAACGCCCAUCAUAUAUAAAGACCGCAUAAAGCGGUGGGAAAUCAAAGCCACACUCGGCAGAAAAAGAAAUAAAAGCCAUACUCGACAAUAAACGCAGGAUAAAUAAACGACCUCCUCCCUCCAGAUUUUCACUCCACCUCUCAAGGUUCAAAGUAAAUGUUCCCGGAC